CCUACGGGAGGCAGCAGUGAGGAAUAUUGGUCAAUGGACGAGAGUCUGAACCAGCCAAGUAGCGUGAAGGAUGACUGCCCUAUGGGUUGUAAACUUCUUUUAUCAAGGAAUAAUACAGUGCACGUGUGCCUUUUUCCAUGGACUUUAUGAAUAAGGAUCGGCUAACUCCGUGCCAGCAGCCGCGGUAAUACGGAGGAUGCGAGCGUUAUCCGGAUUUAUUGGGUUUAAAGGGUGCGUAGGCGGGCUUUUAAGUCAGCGGUAAAAAUUCGGGGCUCAACCCCGUCCGGCCGUUGAAACUGGGGGGCUUGAGUGGGCGAGAAGAAGGCGGAAUGCGUGGUGUAGCGGUGAAAUGCAUAGAUAUCACGCAGAACCCCGAUUGCGAAGGCAGCCUUCCGGCGCCCUACUGACGCUGAGGCACGAAAGUGCGGGGAUCGAACAGGAUUAGAUACCCCAGUAGUC
Molecule: ribosomal RNA, 459 nt
Filed under: uncultured bacterium
Lineage: Bacteria
Description: partial 16S ribosomal RNA
Rfam family: Bacterial small subunit ribosomal RNA
Source: RNAcentral